GAGGAGCGUCUCUGCCCGGCCGCCCAUCGUCUGAGAUGUGGGGAGCUCCUCUGCCCCGCCGCCCUGUCUGGGAUGUGAGGAGCGCCUCUGCCCGGCCGCGACCCCGUCUGGGAACUGAUGAGUGUCUCUGCCCGAUCGCCACCCCAUCUGGGAGAGGAAAGGCCAUGUAAGGACAGAGCAAACAGGCAACUGUCUGCAAACCAGGAAGAGAGGCCUCACCAGAUAUCAACCUUCAUGGCACCUUGAUCUUGAUCUUUCCAGACUGUGAGAAAAUUAACUUCUGUUGUUGUUUAAGCUGCCCUCCAACUCCGUCUGUAGUAUUUUGUUACGGCAGCCCAAACAGACUAAUACAUCAAGUAACCACACAAAUGCAUGUACAAUUAAAACUGACCUAACUGUUAAGAAGAGGAGAUAGGGCAAGAGUAUAUUUAUCGAGGGUAUUCUAUCUGGUCAGAGAUGAGAGAGAAAGAUUUUUCUGGGUAAAGUUAACAAGGUAUAUAGGGUGGGGUGAAUAUGGAGUGGGGAAUGGUCCCAGAUAGGGCCAAUUGCUUGUGCAAAGGCCCUGGGGUGAGACAGAGCACAGUUUAUUAGAGAAACCAAGUGGCAGCUGUGUGAUUGGGGUGCUAAGAGUGAAGAGGAAGGUGAUACAGGUGAGGGUGGAGAAGAGGGUGAGGCCUAACUUCCCAGGACCAUGCAGGAUUUUCACUGCUAACUUGGGCCACUUGCACACCAGACUGGAGCUGGAAAUGGUGGGUAUGGGAGACAGAGAUCAAAAUAACCUCUAGAUGUCCACUUGCAUAGCUGGUAGGUCACGGGACCAUUCAUGAUAGGGAAGCCCAGGAGAGAACCAGAUUUCAAAGAGAAAGUCAUGAAUUUGCACGUGUCAAGCUUGUUGUGCUUUUGAGUCACUUAGAAAGAGACAUUUGUUUGCGGACCUAUCUACAAGUCUAGACUCAGACAGAGACCUGAGUCAUGUCAUUACACUGACAAGGUGGGAGAGGUGAUUCGGGACAGUCAUUCUCAGACUUUGAGUUUCAAGACCCCUUUACACUCUUAAAAACCAUCAAGGACCUCAAAGAGCUUCUGUUUAUGUGGGUUAUAUCUGUCCAUAUUUACUGUAUUAGAAAUGUAAACUGAAAUAUUAAUAUUAAUUUAUAAUAAACCUGUUUUACCUUAACAUAAAAAAAAGAAAUAAAACAUGC
This 1202-nucleotide long non-coding RNA is filed under the name Homo sapiens (human). RNAcentral's name for it is "non-protein coding LINC02148:5". Lineage: Eukaryota; Metazoa; Chordata; Mammalia; Primates; Hominidae. The record is from RNAcentral.